AUCGCUUCUCGGCCUUUUGGCUAAGAUCAAGUGUAGUAUCCAAAGCCUAGGAUGAGGUGCCUCUUCAGUAUAAUGGUAAAUAAUAAAAUUGACUGAUAUCAGCUAGUGAAGCUAUGGUUGAAAGAUGCUAAAAAUAGGCAUUCACAUUUUCUGAGUUUUUACUAUG
Molecule: small nuclear RNA, 166 nt
Filed under: Marmota monax (woodchuck)
Lineage: Eukaryota; Metazoa; Chordata; Mammalia; Rodentia; Sciuridae
Description: U2 spliceosomal RNA
Rfam family: U2 spliceosomal RNA
About the family: U2 is a small nuclear RNA (snRNA) component of the spliceosome (involved in pre-mRNA splicing). Complementary binding between U2 snRNA (in an area lying towards the 5' end but 3' to hairpin I) and the branchpoint sequence (BPS) of the intron results the bulging out of an unpaired adenosine, on the BPS, which initiates a nucleophilic attack at the intronic 5' splice site, thus starting the first of two transesterification reactions that mediate splicing.
Source: Rfam by way of RNAcentral